CCUACGGGAGGCAGCAGUGGGGAAUAUUGCACAAUGGGGGAAACCCUGAUGCAGCAACGCCGCGUGAGUGAAGAAGUCAUUCGUGAUGUAAAGCUCUAUCAGCAGGGAAGAAAAUGACGGUACCUGACUAAGAAGCCCCGGCUAACUACGUGCCAGCAGCCGCGGUAAUACGUAGGGGGCAAGCGUUAUCCGGAUUUACUGGGUGUAAAGGGAGCGUAGACGGCGAGACAAGUCUGAAGUGAAAUGCCAGUGCUCAACACUGGAACUGCUUUGGAAACUGCCUGGCUGGAGUGCGGGAGAGGUAAGUGGAAUUCCUAGUGUAGCGGUGAAAUGCGUAGAUAUUAGGAGGAACACCAGUGGCGAAGGCGGCUUACUGGACCGUAACUGACGUUGAGGCUCGAAGGCGUGGGGAGCAAACAGGAUUAGAUACCCCAGUAG
Molecule: ribosomal RNA, 438 nt
Filed under: uncultured bacterium
Lineage: Bacteria
Description: bacterial SSU rRNA
Rfam family: Bacterial small subunit ribosomal RNA
Source: RNAcentral